CUAAGGAAUGGAAAGCAGCACAUCCCGGCUUCACCACACACAAGGGCCGGCAGUGCAGUUCACAUAGUCUCUGAACUCCCUUUACUGAUCACUCAGUUAACCCACAGGGGUUCCUAAGUAGUCCAGGGGUUUGGGGAAGGGGUGUUAUCCUCCAGCAUGCUGGCAUCUGGCAAGGAGCUUAGAACAGGGGAAGCCAUGCCUUUCUGUGGGUAGAAUACACCAGAGGACUCAGAUUUGUUCCCAUCUGUCUUAGGGGAGCCUCAAUAGCUGUGUUGAGCUUGUGGGGUGUUUCUGUGGCCCAAAGCAUAAUGGGCAGGUGGGUAUAGAGGGUCAUGAGUUCAGGGUCUGGGAGAGCCUCUAUUUUGGGAGAGCCCAGGAAAUGGGGGCCAGUCAUCUGUUGAAUUAAUGCUGUAUAACAUGAGGCCAGAAAUCCUGGGGCAACUGAUGGCCGUGCUCAAUGAUCAAGAGACUGUAGGCAGCAUUUGGUCCCCUAUUUCCUUUUUUUUUUUUUUCCUUUUUUCCUUUUAAGUAUGAUCUUCAGAACAGCUUGUAUUUCUAGGUGGCUAAAAUAAACAUUUUUCUUCCUUCCUCUCUCUGGAUGUUUACCUGACAAUCUCCUGGUGGUAUGAGUAGCCUUCUGGUGUUCUGUCCUUACAGAUUGUCACACGAAAAAAUUGGGGCGGUGUGGGGGUGACCUCUGUAUCUGCUGGCCUUGCAGGCAGCGGCUUCCUUUUCCAGGGUGACCCACUGGAGCUCUGGAGGUGGUGGGAAGCGGGUAGCGAGGAGCGACAGCAGCAGGAACCGACAAGGGAGGCACACACUCUCCCGGGGCCCGUGGGACGCAGGUGAAGUUACCCCCAUUGAGGUUAGGGUUAGGCCAUCUAAUCCUUUCGCGCUGGCUCCAUUUUAUCAACACAGUGAAGCCUAGUGUCGCAUCACCCUUUCCGACUGUGGCUAAGGAGAAAUCGCUGCCUCCCGGAAGCCUGCUGAUGGGUUGUCCAAAAGCAGCGCGCCGCGGUGCCCUUCGCCACGGACAGGUCCGCCCCGCACCGAGGCCCCAGGCCACGCAAGGGCGCACCCGGCUCAAGAGACAAGGCAUCCUCCACCGGAGGCCGGCGACCGAGAGUCCCCACGGUCCCAGGAGGGGGUCUGAUUCUGCAAAGGGAAACACAUCCUCCUACCACCGGGACCUGCCCUCCGCGCUGCAGGCAAAGAGUCGGAUACAGCCGCCGCAAUUCCGGAGAGUCCCGGAGGCGACACAGACACCGACGACAGCAGGACCCCGUAGCGCGCAGCGGCGAGCAGCGAGAUCCAGCGCCAGCAAGCCAGCGCGCAGACCAGACCUACUGGGCCAGCUGAUACGGCAAGGACGAGCAUCUGGUGUAUUAGCAUUCUCAUUGGUGGACAUGAUUAUGAGACAGAGGAAGAAAGCUGUGAAACGGGCCUGGGCUUCCACAGGAGGCUAUGCGGGGAUCGGCAGCUGUGGGGUGGCUGGGCUGAAAGCGACCACCUUGGCUCCGACUGAUUCCAUAUCUUCUGGAAGGUAUCCACUGGGUUCUUCCCGCCUGCUGCACAAACAACGUUCAUCUGCUGAGACCAUGACAUUGCAGUGAAGAAAGGGUUUAAUUAACACUUGGCUGGCCAUGCCACAUGGAAGACAGUUGUUACUCAAAUCAAUCUCCCCAGAAAUUUGUAGACUAGGGUUUUCCAAGGAGAGUUUGUUGGCCAAAGGGGUCCAGAAGGGGGCAUGGUGAUUGGUUGAGGAUGCAGUUAUGGGGUGUGGAAAAUGAUCCUCAUGUGCUGAGGCUGUUUCUGAGUGGGGUUUACUACAGGAGUCCAGGUCCAAUGUCUAGGUCCAUGUGAAACCAUCUUGGUUGUCAGAAAUGCAAAGCCUUAAAAGACAUCUCAAAAGGUCAAUCUUAGGUUCUACAAGAGUGAUGUUAUCUGCAGGAGUAAUUGGGGACGUUGUAAAUUUUGGGAUCUCCAGAAUAAUGACUAGUAAUUAUCUAACUAGGCCUACAUCUAGGAGAAUUCAGGUGCCUUUCAUCCUCCUAACUUUGUGGCCUUUCGUUAGUUUUACAAAGGAAGUUUAGGUUUUGGGAAGGGCCAUUAUCAUUUAAACUGUAAACUAAAUUUCUCCCAAAGUAAGCUUGGUCUAUACCCAGGAAUGAAUGAAGGCAGCCAGCCUGUGAGGCUAGAAGCAGGAUGAACUCAGCCACAUCGGGUAUCUCUUAUUGUCGUAGUUUUGCAAAGGCAGUUUCAGUUUUGGUGCCACAUUUGAGAAAUAUUUUGCCUCUUCUAAGCUCAUGAAGACAUUAUCCUAUAUUUCUUACAGAAACUUGAUUUUCUCAGCUUUCAUGAAGUAGGGGGCCAAGGGUUCUUGUUUAUAUGCCUGGUGCGGUGACCCAGCACCACGUACCUUUCCCACUGAAUUGCAAUGGAGUUCCCUCUCUCCCCUUUAAGGUGUGGGAGACUUGUGGGUCUGUUUCCGAACUCCUCUUCCUAUUGCACUGGUCUGUCUCCAUAUUCUAGAAUCAGUACUGCACUGUCUUAAUUUCUGUAGUUUUCUAAAAGGCUUUCUAUUCAUGGUUUAAAUAUGUGAGCUUUGGUCUACUUCCCUAUGUCCUUGGGCAUCUAGGCUCUUUGUAUUUCCAUACACAUUUUAGAAUCAGCUUGUCUGCUUGGAGUGAGCCUAGCCAGUGGGGAAAAAAAAGAAGAAUCAGCUUGUCAAUUCCGCCCCCCCCCGCCCCCCCCACCAACACAACAACAGAAAACCAAGGGAGUUUUACUGGGAUUACUUUUAAUUACAUUGAAUCUAUAGAUCAAUUUUGGGAGAAUUGACAUCUUAACAACAUUGAGUUUCCAGUCAAUGAACAGGAUACAUCUUAUUUACUUAAGUAUUUCAAACAUUUUCUUAUUAAUGUUUUGCAGUUUUUGGUAUAAAAGUUUUACACACUUCUCAUUACAUUUAUAUAGUGACCUUGAUAAAUUAUUUUAUGAAUAGUCUGUUUCUAGGUUUAUUUGAAUUUUACCAGUUGGUUUUUCUCAUUUGUUUUGUUAAUACGAACAACCACAUUGACUUUUAAAUGUUAAACUACCCUUUUAUUCCUGAAAUAAACUACCCUUGUUCAAGAUGUAUUAUCCUUUUUCAUAUGUACUUGCAUUCGAUUUACCAAAAUUUUCUCCUAUGUUCAUGAAAUAUAUUAGUUUGUGGUUUCCUUUUUUAAAAUAAUGCACUUGUAGGGUUAGAAAUAAAAAUUCUGAUGGC
RNAcentral lists this long non-coding RNA (3268 nucleotides) under Callithrix jacchus (white-tufted-ear marmoset). RNAcentral's name for it is "lncRNA (ENSCJAG00000074882.1)". The record is from RNAcentral. Lineage: Eukaryota; Metazoa; Chordata; Mammalia; Primates; Cebidae.